UGCCCCUUCGCCAAGCGGUCAAGGCACGGGACUUUGACUCCCGGAUCAAUGGUUCAAAUCCAUUAGGGGCAG
RNAcentral lists this transfer RNA (72 nucleotides) under Methanobrevibacter sp. RNAcentral's name for it is "tRNA-Gln". It matches the Rfam family "tRNA". Rfam says of the family: Transfer RNA (tRNA) molecules are approximately 80 nucleotides in length. The record is from RNAcentral. Lineage: Archaea; Methanobacteriati; Methanobacteriota; Methanobacteria; Methanobacteriales; Methanobacteriaceae.